GCGCACGCUGGCGGCCGGCCUAACACAUGCAAGUCGAACGAACUCUUCGGAGUUAGUGGCGGACGGGUGAGUAACACGUGGGAACGUGCCUUUUGGUUCGGAAUAACUCAGGGAAACUUGUGCUAAUACCGAAUGUGCCCUUCGGGGGAAAGAUUUAUCGCCAUUAGAGCGGCCCGCGUCUGAUUAGCUAGUUGGUGAGGUAACGGCUCACCAAGGCGACGAUCAGUAGCUGGUCUGAGAGGAUGACCAGCCACACUGGGACUGAGACACGGCCCAGACUCCUACGGGAGGCAGCAGUGGGGAAUCUUGCGCAAUGGGCGAAAGCCUGACGCAGCCAUGCCGCGUGAAUGAUGAAGGUCUUAGGAUUGUAAAAUUCUUUCACCGGGGACGAUAAUGACGGUACCCGGAGAAGAAGCCCCGGCUAACUUCGUG
RNAcentral lists this ribosomal RNA (432 nucleotides) under uncultured bacterium. RNAcentral describes it as "partial 16S ribosomal RNA". It matches the Rfam family "Bacterial small subunit ribosomal RNA", at positions 29 to 507 of the family's 1533-position model. The record is from RNAcentral.